UUUCUCACAUGAUUCUGAACAAGUCUCUUUUACAGAGGUAGCAAGUCUAACGGUGUCUUGUAUCAAGGAAUCAAGGUCAGCUUCAAAUCCUGGUUUGACAUAGAUGACUGAUGGAUCAUCCCAACCAAGCAGUGGAAGUUGAUGUGCACAUCCUUUGUUGUCUCUGGUUGAUGGUAAUACCCAAACUUUAAAACUUGUAUGUACCUCUCUGCAGUAUGGAGAAUAACAGUUGCUACAUUUUGUGGUGAAAGAUGUGAUAAUUGUUCCAUCCACUGAGAGCCCAAAGCCAGCGUGCUUGUGGAUAGAGAGUUGAAUAGAAAUUGG
Molecule: unclassified non-coding RNA, 324 nt
Filed under: Hevea brasiliensis (rubber tree)
Lineage: Eukaryota; Viridiplantae; Streptophyta; Magnoliopsida; Malpighiales; Euphorbiaceae
Source: RNAcentral